This 78-nucleotide transfer RNA is filed under the name Palaeococcus helgesonii. Its description in RNAcentral is "tRNA-Gly". It matches the Rfam family "tRNA". Rfam says of the family: Transfer RNA (tRNA) molecules are approximately 80 nucleotides in length. Their secondary structure includes four short double-helical elements and three loops (D, anti-codon, and T loops). Lineage: Archaea; Methanobacteriati; Methanobacteriota; Thermococci; Thermococcales; Thermococcaceae. RNAcentral also lists the same sequence under 3 other names. The record is from RNAcentral.
GCGGUAGUAGUCUAGCCUGGUCUAGGACACCGGCCUCCCAAGCCGGUAACCCGGGUUCGAAUCCCGGCUACCGCACCA